RNAcentral lists this ribosomal RNA (253 nucleotides) under uncultured bacterium. Its description in RNAcentral is "partial 16S ribosomal RNA". It matches the Rfam family "Bacterial small subunit ribosomal RNA", at positions 524 to 776 of the family's 1533-position model. The record is from RNAcentral.
GACGUAGGGCGCGAGCGUUGUCCGGAUUUAUUGGGCGUAAAGAGCUCGUAGGCGGUUUGUCGCGUCGUCCGUGAAAACUCACAGCUUAACUGUGAGCUUGCGGUCGAUACGGGUAGGCUAGAGUUCGGUAGGGGAGACUGGAAUUCCUGGUGUAGCGGUGAAAUGCGCAGAUAUCAGGAGGAACACCGGUGGCGAAGGCGGGUCUCUGGGCCGAUACUGACGCUGAGGAGCGAAAGCGUGGGGAGCGAACAGG